This 265-nucleotide ribosomal RNA is filed under the name uncultured Staphylococcus sp. RNAcentral's name for it is "partial 16S ribosomal RNA". It matches the Rfam family "Bacterial small subunit ribosomal RNA", at positions 96 to 355 of the family's 1533-position model. The record is from RNAcentral. Lineage: Bacteria; Bacillati; Bacillota; Bacilli; Caryophanales; Staphylococcaceae.
CGGCGGACGGGUGAGUAACACGUGGAUAACCUACCUAUAAGACUGGGAUAACUUCGGGAAACCGGAGCUAAUACCGAUAAUAUAUUGAACCGCAUGGUUCAAUAGUGAAAGACGGUUUUGCUGUCACUUAUAGAUGGAUCCGCGCCGCAUUAGCUAGUUGGUAAGGUAACGGCUUACCAAGGCAACGAUGCGUAGCCGACCUGAGAGGGUGAUCGGCCACACUGGAACUGAGACACGGUCCAGACUCCUACGGGAGGCAGCAGUC